This 121-nucleotide microRNA precursor is filed under the name Cricetulus griseus (Chinese hamster). Its description in RNAcentral is "miRNA (ENSCGRG00000021545.1)". Lineage: Eukaryota; Metazoa; Chordata; Mammalia; Rodentia; Cricetidae. The record is from RNAcentral.
UUCUCUGUGUAGCUCUGGCUGUCCUGGAACUCACUCUGUAGAUAAGGCUGGCCUUGAACUCAGAGAUCCUCCUGCCUCUGCCUCCGAAAUGCUGGGAAUAAAGGUGUGAGCCACCAUAUGC